UUACGGGAGGCAGCAGUGGGGAAUUUUGGACAAUGGGGGCAACCCUGAUCCAGCCAUGCCGCGUGCGGGAAGAAGGCCUUCGGGUUGUAAACCGCUUUUAGCCGGGAAGAAAAGACUACGGAUAACACCCGUGGUUUUUGACGGUACCGGCGGAAUAAGCACCGGCUAACUACGUGCCAGCAGCCGCGGUAAUACGUAGGGUGCGAGCGUUAAUCGGAAUUACUGGGCGUAAAGCGUGCGCAGGCGGUUCGUUGUGUCGGCGGUGAAAGCCCCGGGCUUAACCUGGGAAUGGCCGUCGAAACUGGCGAACUGGAGUGUGGCAGAGGGGGGUGGAAUUCCGCGUGUAGCAGUGAAAUGCGUAGAGAUGCGGAGGAACACCGAUGGCGAAGGCAGCCCCCUGGGCUGACACUGACGCUCAGGCACGAAAGCGUGGGGAGCAAACAGGAUUAGAUACCCGAGUAGUCC
This 465-nucleotide ribosomal RNA is filed under the name uncultured bacterium. Its description in RNAcentral is "bacterial SSU rRNA". It matches the Rfam family "Bacterial small subunit ribosomal RNA", at positions 339 to 796 of the family's 1533-position model. The record is from RNAcentral.